CCAUGGCCGCGCGCUCCCGCCGGAACUGCUCCCGGCCACGCGCGUCCCCUCCGGAACUGCUCCGGGCCGCGCCCGUUCCCGCCGGAACCGUUCCAUGCCCACUCGCGUGCCCCACGGAACCGCUCCCUGGCCACGCGCGUUUCCCCCCGGAACCGCUCUCCGGUGGCGCGUACUCCUGCCCGGAAGUGCUCCUGGCCACACGCGCGCUCCCGCCCGCCGCGCGCCCCCGAGAGCCGGGCCAUGGCGGAGGGCGGCGGCCGCGCCGGCGGCUUCAGGAAGGACACCGUGGAUCGGCUUCUCCGCCUCCAUUUCCGGGACGGGAGGACCCGAGUUAACUCCGACGCGCAGCUGCUGAUGGCCGAGUUCCUGAAGGUCUUCGUCCGAGAAGCGGCAGCACGGGCAGCUCGGCAGGCUCAGGCAGAGGACCUGAACAGCGUGGAUACGGAGCAGCUGGAGAAAGUGUUGCCACAGCUGCUUCUGGAUUUCUAGAAGCCUCCUGAAGCACAUCACCUGUCAGCAGACAGUCCUGACCUGACAUGUGUCUCAGCCUCAGAGACACUCUGGGAUGAACAGUCUCAACCUUUUCUUCCUCUGGUAUUUUGCUUCUGUUUUCUCUUUCCUUUACCAAACACAAGACAGCCCAGAGCAGUGAUGCUGUCAGAUACUAUUUUUGAGAAGAGGCUGCCACAGGCUUGUUUUGUUCAGCUGAGUGCAUAAGUGAUUUCCAUCUUGCUGCUUCCUCCUGUAACAGUGGCCUGUAUGUCACAACACGUAAGAAGUUGUUGCUUUCUCAGCUAACAUGAUAAAGACGUGCUGCUUCACAGAGAUGCAUCGAAAGACUUAAUGGCUGGAAAUACCUUCAAGCAGGCUACCUUCAAGCAGGCAGCUGUAACAGCAACUCCAGGUGCAGCUCCAGGCCUUUCUAAUGAAUAGGUCAUUAACAGGAGCUUAGUCACAGGCUCUUGCCAAGAGCAGAUUUCAGAUCCUCAUCUCUGCCUCCACUCUGAUGCCUACUACUGAAACAGCAGUUCUGAAGUUGCUGCCCUCAAAAGGCUGAAGUUCCCUGACAGAACUGCUGAUGUGGAUGUCCCCAGUAAAGCAGCAACUGAAUUGUAGCAGCAGCUAAAAGUAACUUUGUACAGGGAAAGGCGGUUGAAGGCAGCAAUUUUUCAUUACUGUGAUUAAACUGGGUUUGAUGCACAGCUAAGUUACACAAGGGUCAAGCACAGGCAGAGCUGCCUGAGGGAACACAGUCAACAAUGUAAAGCCCCUACACUUAACCCAUGAAACUGCCCCAGGAAUACUGAUAUUGCUGCUUGUGUCCCUGAAGUUGUUUUCCCAUGUCAGGGACUUGCAGCAGAUAGUUACGGUGUGCUAGCCCUUUACAAAAGCUGAAAUAAUUAAAACAGCUAAGCAAAUCAGUUAAGCAGAUAGUACUAUUUGAUGUCACCUGUGCUCUUCAAAAAACAAGGACCAGCACAUCUGAAGGCACACUGCAAUUUCCUCCCAACCACACUGCUUCUGCACAUUCUAAUCCUGGAAACCAAGAACACCAGCACAAGUAUUUCACCACAUAUCAUUAGCAAUGGCUCCUGGUUUCCCCACAGGUUAUCUGUAUAAAUUCAGCAAGGCAGCUCUAGCUACCAUCUACCUGUGAUGUCUGACACGAACAAACGUGAUACAGCCCUGAGCCAAACACCAACAGUCCUACAGUGAGCAGCGCAGGCUCAGCUCACGCUUUAUCAACUAAAGAGUAAUAAAGUUUGAACAUUAUGUGA
This is an RNA transcript of Oenanthe melanoleuca, 1778 nucleotides long. It is a transcript of the gene named centromere protein X, with no coding region annotated. Lineage: Eukaryota; Metazoa; Chordata; Aves; Passeriformes; Muscicapidae. The record is from RefSeq and is a predicted model, not a curated record. The transcript has 6 exons.